RNAcentral lists this ribosomal RNA (250 nucleotides) under uncultured bacterium. RNAcentral's name for it is "partial 16S ribosomal RNA". It matches the Rfam family "Bacterial small subunit ribosomal RNA", at positions 355 to 618 of the family's 1533-position model. The record is from RNAcentral.
UCAAGAACCUUCCACAAUGGACGAAAGUCUGAUGGAGCGACGCCGCGUGAUUGAUGAAGUGCUUCGGCACGUAAAGAUCUUUUAUGAGGGAAGAAGUUUAUUGACGGUACCUCAUGAAUAAGGGGCUCCUAACUCUGUGCCAGCAGGAGCGGUAAUACAGAGGCCCCAAGCGUUAUCCGGAAUUAUUAGGCGUAAAGGGUGUGUAGGUGGCGCUAUUAGUCGUUUUUGAAAGCCCGGGGCUUAACUCCGG